Molecule: ribosomal RNA, 253 nt
Filed under: uncultured bacterium
Lineage: Bacteria
Description: partial 16S ribosomal RNA
Rfam family: Bacterial small subunit ribosomal RNA
Source: RNAcentral
UACGAAGGGGGCUAGCGUUGUUCGGAAUUACUGGGCGUAAAGCGCACGUAGGCGGAUAUUUAAGUCAGGGGUGAAAUCCCGGGGCUCAACCCCGGAACUGCCUUUGAUACUGGGUAUCUUGAGUGUGGUAGAGGUGAGUGGAAUUGCGAGUGUAGAGGUGAAAUUCGUAGAUAUUCGGAAGAACACCAGUGGCGAAGGCGGCUCACUGGACUGGUAUUGACGCUGAGGUGCGAAAGCGUGGGGAGCAAACAGG